RNAcentral lists this ribosomal RNA (703 nucleotides) under uncultured Nitrospirota bacterium. RNAcentral's name for it is "bacterial SSU rRNA". It matches the Rfam family "Bacterial small subunit ribosomal RNA", at positions 62 to 764 of the family's 1533-position model. The record is from RNAcentral. Lineage: Bacteria; Pseudomonadati; Nitrospirota.
UCGAGCGAGAAAGCUCCUUCGGGAGUGAGUAAAGCGGCGGACGAGUGCGUAACACGUGGGUACCUGCCCUUCAGUGAAGGAUACCCUCGAGAAAUCGAGGUUAAUACUGCAUACGUCCCUUCGGGGAGAAAGGUGGCUUUAUGCUGCCGCUGGAGGAUGGGCUUGCGGGCUAUCAGUUUGUUGGUGAGGUAAUGGCUCACCAAGGCUAUGACGGCUAGCCGACCUGAGAGGGUGACCGGCCACGCUGGGACUGAGACACGGCCCAGACUCCUACGGGAGGCAGCAGUGGGGAAUAUUGCGCAAUGGGCGAAAGCCUGACGCAGCAACGCCGCGUGGGGGAUGAAGGUCUUCGGAUCGUAAACUCCUGUCAGGGGGGAAGAAAAGCCUGUUUUUAAUAGAAGCAGGUUAUGACGGUACCUCCAGAGGAAGCACCGGCUAACUUCGUGCCAGCAGCCGCGGUAAUACGAAGGGUGCAAGCGUUAUUCGGAAUUACUGGGCGUAAAGGGUGCGUAGACGGCAAAUCAAGUCUGUUGUUUAAUCCUCCGGCCUAACUGGAGAGCUGCGAUGGAAACUGAUGUGCUAGAGGAUGAGAGAGAGGAGUGGAAUUCCCGGAGUAGCGGUAAAAUGCGUGGAUCUCGGGAGGAACACCAAUGGCGAAGGCAGCUUCUUGGCUCAUUCCUGACGUUGAGGCACGAAAGCGUGG